This 174-nucleotide microRNA precursor is filed under the name Prunus dulcis (almond). RNAcentral's name for it is "sRNA ncRNA". Lineage: Eukaryota; Viridiplantae; Streptophyta; Magnoliopsida; Rosales; Rosaceae. The record is from RNAcentral.
GAGAAUGAGGAUGAGAUUGAGAGAAAGGAUGAGAGGGGAGGAUGGGAGGGAGGAGUAACAAAAGUGAAAACAAUUUCAAAUAGAUUUCAGGUUUUAGUUUUUGUUUUCACUUUUGUUACUCCUCCCUCCCAUCCUUCCCUCUCAUAUUCCCUCUCAAUCCCAUCUCUACUCUCA